UACAUCAGCGCGCCGUGGCCACUGGUGGAACCGACUGUUUCUUUGACGAAAGCUAACCUAACCCGCGUACAAAAUGGCGCAAAAUGUCACGAAUUUAUCAUGCAUCAAGUUAUAUUUUCUUUAGUAUAAUAAUUACAUUCGUUUAGUUAAGCAACUUGUUUAUGAUAAUUGUAGAAAAGUGUAGAAAAAUGACACUUGCAUUAUAUCCUGGGAUGAAGAAACGUUAUUUUAUGUCGAUUUCUUUAGAUGACAAAGGAGGUAACCAAAUAGCAUAUCUUACAAAAUCUGAGGACAAUAAUAAGGAUCGUUUAUCAAGGUUAAAAUAAUUAUUUUACUAAAUUAAGACAUUAACAUAUCCAUGUGUUCGACAUAACCUCACUUCUUAAAUCUCUUAAAUUAGUCGGUUGAGAAACGGAUCGUGAAUGAUUGUUUGAAUAUAAGUCGUACAAAAUUGGAAUGAAACGAUGAACAAUAUACAGAUCUUUAGAUAGGCUCAAAUAAUGUAUGUUUAGGAGCAACUUGAAGAUAAUGGAGAUUUAUCUUCUUAAUAUAAAACCUCUAAAAUUGGGAACAGUAUGUCAUAUAUGCAUGAACUUGAUUGAUGUAUUGAUGUAUAAUGAACUGAAGAUAUAAUGAAUUCAAUCAGGUUAAAAAAAAUGUAUGUGCAAAAGCGACUCGAAGACGAUUUAGAUUUGUCUCCUGAAUAUAAAACUUCCAAGAAGUACAUCAUAUAUGAAUAUCCUGUAUCCUCGCAUUUGAUGUAUUGAACUGGCGAUAGAAUGAAAUCAGUCAGUGUUAAAAAUGUAUGUGUAAAAGCGACUUUAAGAUGAUGGAGAUUUGUACACUGAACAUAAAACUUCCAAAAUUUGGGGCAGUAUGUCAUAUGUGCAUAAUCUGUAUCCUGGCAUUUGAUGCAAUGAACUGGCGAUAGAAUGAAAUAAUGAAAAAUAGGCAGGCUGGUUUGAUGUAUAAGGAAGU
Long non-coding RNA from Ctenocephalides felis (cat flea), 978 nucleotides. RefSeq lists it as uncharacterized. The record is from RefSeq and is a predicted model, not a curated record. The transcript has 6 exons. NCBI's taxonomy places the organism in Eukaryota, Metazoa, Arthropoda, Insecta, Siphonaptera, Pulicidae.